RNAcentral lists this ribosomal RNA (396 nucleotides) under Endomicrobium sp. Its description in RNAcentral is "bacterial SSU rRNA". It matches the Rfam family "Bacterial small subunit ribosomal RNA", at positions 1 to 394 of the family's 1533-position model. The record is from RNAcentral. Lineage: Bacteria; Pseudomonadati; Elusimicrobiota; Endomicrobiia; Endomicrobiales; Endomicrobiaceae.
UUUAUGGAGAGUUUGAUCCUGGCUCAGAGUGAACGCUGGCGGCGUGCCUAACACAUGCAAGUCGCGCGGGAUUUUACAGAGUAUCGUAAAGUCUAGCGGCAAACGGGUGAGUAACACGUGGGAAACCUCCCUUGAGAUGGGGAAUAUCUCCGGGAAACCGGAGUCAAUACCGCAUAAGACCACAGUUCGGCAUCGAACAGGGGUCAAAGCAGUAAUGCGUCUCAAGAUGGUCCUGCGGCCUAUCAGCUAGUUGGUGGGGUAACGGCCUACCAAGGCAAUGACGGGUAUCCGGCCUGAAAGGGUGAACGGACACACUGGAACUGAGACACGGUCCAGACUCCUACGGGAGGCAGCAGUGGGGAAUUUUGGACAAUGGGGGAAACCCUGAUCCAGCGA